Molecule: ribosomal RNA, 434 nt
Filed under: uncultured bacterium
Lineage: Bacteria
Description: partial 16S ribosomal RNA
Rfam family: Bacterial small subunit ribosomal RNA
Source: RNAcentral
AGCGAACGCUGGCGGCAGGCCUAACACAUGCAAGUCGAACGAACCUUUCGGGGUUAGUGGCGGACGGGUGAGUAACACGUGGGAACGUGCCUUUAGGUUCGGAAUAACUCAGGGAAACUUGUGCUAAUACCGAAUGUGCCCUUCGGGGGAAAGAUUUAUCGCCUUUAGAGCGGCCCGCGUCUGAUUAGCUAGUUGGUUGAGGUAAUGGCACACCAAGGCGACGAUCAGUAGCUGGUCUGAGAGGAUGAUCAGCCACAUUGGGACUGAGACACGGCCCAAACUCCUACGGGAGGCAGAAGUGGGGAAUCUUGCGCAAUGGGCGAAAGCCUGACGCAGCCAUGCCGCGUGAAUGAUGAAGGUCUUAGGAUUGUAAAAUUCUUUCACCGGGGACGAUAAUGACGGUACCCGGAGAAGAAGCCCCGGCUAACUUCGUG